AAUAUAUAAGAUUCAUCCCUCCUGCUGAUUUUGGAGUGCACAUUCUGUCCCAAGAGAUAUAGGCCUUAUUAGUGAUGGAGUUUAAACCAGACCACACAAAACUCCUACAUAUAGCUUCGAUCAUCUUAAGGACUUUAGCAGGGAAGAUGAAGAGUUGGGCCCAGUAUGCUUGAAUGCCAAAUAGAACAUAUUGGACUAGUUGGAUCCUCCCAGUGUAAGACAGUUUCCUGGCAGUCCAUGAGGUGAUCUUAGCAGUGAUCCUCUCCACAAAAGGUUGCCAUUGGAGUAAGGUAAUCCUCUUGGUGGACAGAGGGACACCUAAGUAUUUGAAUGGUAACUCACCUUGAACAUAACCAAGGUGGUCUAUAAUCUGUUUUUGCACUUCCAAUGUAACACCACCAAAAUAUACUGAGCUUUUGCUCAGGUUUGCCUGCAGACCAGAGGCUUCAGAAAAUUUAGAGAAGCAUUUGGAUAUGGCUAUGAUAGAGGCAGUUUCCCCUUUAGCAAACAGUAGCAGGUCAUCAGCAAAGCACAUGUGAGUAAUUCCUAAUUUUUUGCAUCUAUGAUGGAACUGGAAAGUUGGUUCUUUCUUUAGUGCAUUACAUGAUCUGCUCAGGUACUCCAUGACAAGUGCAAAUAGGAAGGGGGAAAUGUGAUCCCCUUGCCUAAGUCCCCUUGUAGCUACAAAGGGCUAUGUUGCCUCUCCAUUGACUAGGGGAUCCCCUUGCCUAAGUCCCCUUGCAGCUACAAAGGACUCUGUUGCCUCUCCAUUGACUAAGACAGAGAAGCUAACUGUUGUGAUGCAUUCCAAGUUAGUAAAUCUUCUUGGGAAACCAAUCUGCUCCAUAACCUACUGUAGGAAUAUCAAUUCCACUGAAUCAUAGGCUUUUUGGAGAUCAAUUUUAAUCAUGCAUCUAGGUGUCACAUGUG
This 930-nucleotide long non-coding RNA is filed under the name Nicotiana benthamiana. Its description in RNAcentral is "long non-coding RNA (NBEN_LNC027020)". The record is from RNAcentral. Lineage: Eukaryota; Viridiplantae; Streptophyta; Magnoliopsida; Solanales; Solanaceae.